This 74-nucleotide transfer RNA is filed under the name Patescibacteria group bacterium. RNAcentral describes it as "tRNA-Gly". It matches the Rfam family "tRNA". Rfam says of the family: Transfer RNA (tRNA) molecules are approximately 80 nucleotides in length. Their secondary structure includes four short double-helical elements and three loops (D, anti-codon, and T loops). The record is from RNAcentral.
GCGGGCAUAGUUCAGCGGUAAAACGACUCUCUUCCAAGGAGUAGUUGCGGGUUCGACUCCCGCUGCCCGCUCCA